CAUUCUCCAUACAGUAGAGAGAGGCAAUGGACUAGCGAUGUUCAUUGCACCCGGAGCAGACGUUUACAAAGGUCAGAUAGUUGGCAUUCAUCAGAGACCUGGUGACCUAUCACUGAAUGUGUGCAAGAAGAAGGCUGCAACAAACGUUCGCUCAAACAAAGAACAGACGGUGGUUCUAGAUACACCACAAGAUUACAGUCUUGACGACUGUAUUGAGUACAUUCAGGAGGAUGAACUUGUGGAGGUAACCCCGGCAAGUAUCCGAAUGUGUAAGAACCUGAAGAUGGCAAAGAAAGGUAGGUGAAAGUAAGUGUCAUCCGCACCUCAAGGCUGAGGACAUACACCACACCACAUCAAUGUCACAGAUGAAGAUGAGGUUUUGGUUCAAAAAUCUGAUUUUCGAGUUUGAGGUCAACAUUGUAUUUAUAAUU
Long non-coding RNA from Beta vulgaris subsp. vulgaris (sugar beet), 431 nucleotides. RefSeq lists it as uncharacterized. The record is from RefSeq and is a predicted model, not a curated record. NCBI's taxonomy places the organism in Eukaryota, Viridiplantae, Streptophyta, Magnoliopsida, Caryophyllales, Amaranthaceae. The transcript has 2 exons.